RNAcentral lists this ribosomal RNA (163 nucleotides) under uncultured bacterium. RNAcentral describes it as "partial 16S rRNA". It matches the Rfam family "Bacterial small subunit ribosomal RNA", at positions 355 to 511 of the family's 1533-position model. The record is from RNAcentral.
UAGGGAAUCUUCGGCAAUGGACGGAAAGUCUGACCGAGCAACGCCGCGUGAGUGAAGAAGGUUUUCGGAUCGUAAACUCUGUUGGUAGAGAAGAACGUUGGUGAGAGCGGAAAGCUCAUCAAGUGACGGUAACUACCAGAAAGGGCGGCUAACUACGUACCAG